CCUACGGGUGGCAGCAGUCGAGAAUCAUUCACAAUGGGGGAAACCCUGAUGGUGCGACGCCGCGUGGGGGAAUGAAGGUCUUCGGAUUGUAAACCCCUGUCAUGUGGGAGCAAAUUAAAAAGAUAGUACCACAAGAGGAAGAGACGGCUAACUCUGUGCCAGCAGCCGCGGUAAUACAGAGGUCUCAAGCGUUGGUCGGAGUCACUGGGCGUAAGGGGUGCGGAGGCGGUUUCUUAAGUCGUGUGUGAAAGGCGCGGGCUCAACCCGCGGCCGGAACAGGAUACUGCGAGACUUGAGUAAUGGAGGGGGAACCGGAAUUCUCGGUGUAGCGGUGAAAUGCGUAGAUAUCGAGAGGAACACUCGUGACGAAGGCGGGUUCCUGGACAUUAACUGACGCUGAGGCACGAAGGCCAGGGGAGCGAAAGGGAUUAGAUACCCCGGUAGUC
Molecule: ribosomal RNA, 446 nt
Filed under: uncultured bacterium
Lineage: Bacteria
Description: partial 16S ribosomal RNA
Rfam family: Bacterial small subunit ribosomal RNA
Source: RNAcentral